This is a non-coding RNA of Epinephelus lanceolatus (giant grouper), 295 nucleotides long. Lineage: Eukaryota; Metazoa; Chordata; Actinopteri; Perciformes; Serranidae. The record is from RefSeq and is a predicted model, not a curated record.
AGGAGCUUGCUUGUAGCGUAGUCAUUUUGUGAAUGUUGCUCGUGCUUCUGACAUUUUAUAUGCCCCGUGGCAAGUCCUACCGUCGCUCUGAGGCGGCUAAGUGGAGGAUGGUGGAGCGACAGUUGGCCUCCAGUGACGCUGGUGCAUGUAUGUGGCGUGCCUUCUUGAAAUCAACUUUUCAUGUAUAUCCUUGCUGUAUGACUGAGUUAAACUCCUAACUUUGUGUAUUUUUAUAGUCUUGAAAAGUUCACAUAUUGUGUUGAAGUGCUUGAACUUUGAAUUUGGUCUCCUUUUU